CGCACAUUGCGCCCGCCAGCAUUCUGGCGGGCAUGCCUGUUCGAGCGUCAUUUCAACCCCUCAGGCCCUGGUGCCUGGCGUCGGGGCGUUCCCUAGCGGGAAGCCCCCAGAGACAGUGGCGGACCCGCCGCGGCUCCGAGCGCAGUAGUAAAAUUCUCGCUUAGGAGGUCCGCGGGGGGGCUCCCGGCCGUAAAACACCCAAACACAUCAAGGUUGACCUCGGAUCAGGUAGGAAUACCCGCUGAACUUAA
This 251-nucleotide unclassified non-coding RNA is filed under the name fungal sp. RNAcentral's name for it is "partial contains 5.8S ribosomal RNA, internal transcribed spacer 2, and large subunit ribosomal RNA". Lineage: Eukaryota; Fungi. The record is from RNAcentral.